Molecule: ribosomal RNA, 424 nt
Filed under: uncultured archaeon
Lineage: Archaea
Description: bacterial SSU rRNA
Rfam family: Archaeal small subunit ribosomal RNA
Source: RNAcentral
AUGCGCGAAAGCGUGACGAGGUUAAUCCGAGUGGCUUCCGCUGAGGAAGUCUUUUGCCGACUUUAAAAAGGUCGGAGAAUAAGGGGAGGGCAAGUCUGGUGUCAGCCGCCGCGGUAAUACCAGCUCCUCGAGUGGUCGGGGCGAUUAUUGGGCCUAAAGCAUCCGUAGCCGGUUCCGUAGGUCUCCUGCAAAAUCCAGUCGCUCAACGAUUGGCCCGCAGGAGAUACCGCGGGACUAGGAGGCGGGAGAGGUGGACGGUACUCCACGUGUAGGGGUAAAAUCCUUUGAUCCGUGGAAGACCACCAGAUUGCUUGCGGUUAAUGACCACAGGCACGGUGAAUGGCGAAGGCGGUCCACCAGAACGCGCUCGACGGUGAGGGAUGAAAGCUGGGGGAGCGAACCGGAUUAGAUACCCGCGUAGUCC